CACUCGUGUAAGGUAAUCGCGCGACAUUGUCGUGAGGAAAGUCCGGGCACGUACUUCAUUUAUGAAGUUAAAAUGGUAGCGGGUAACACCCGUCGAGAGCAAUCUUAGGGAUGCGAGCAGUGACGUCGAAGCAGAGAUGCUAAGAAUUCCUUUUGGAAUAAUCUUACGGUAACGUAAGAAUGAAACGGCAAAAUUCCUACCUACGUGCAAGGCCGUACUAAACUUCUUUGAAGUUUUGGGUGCCGCAAGAGAUAGUUGGUAACAAUUAUCCUAGAUAAAUGAUUGCACAGUAUGUACUGACAAAUACAUACGGACAGAACCCGGCUUAUAUGCACGAGUAGUCA
This 344-nucleotide RNase P RNA is filed under the name Candidatus Kaiserbacteria bacterium. RNAcentral's name for it is "RNase P RNA component class A". It matches the Rfam family "Bacterial RNase P class A". From Rfam's summary of the family: Ribonuclease P (RNase P) is a ubiquitous endoribonuclease, found in archaea, bacteria and eukarya as well as chloroplasts and mitochondria. Its best characterised activity is the generation of mature 5'-ends of tRNAs by cleaving the 5'-leader elements of precursor-tRNAs. Lineage: Bacteria; Candidatus Kaiseribacteriota. The record is from RNAcentral.